UUGCUUGUAGUUUUGAAUAAUAAACAGUUGGGCCUUCACCGACAUAUGUAACAGUCCUGUAAACCGAUACAUUUCCAGACAUAUUAAAAACACCGAUAGAAGGAUAGUUGAAGUUAUAGGAGGGUAUGGGAGGAUUCUUGCAGUAAACCGGUGUUCCGGUCAAGUUCUUGAGUUGUGCAACGCUUGCCCCAUAGCUGCAAAGAAAAUCGAUGAGAUUGUUGGUGUCAUAAUCAUAAAUGAGCCCGGGAUCUAUUGCUGCAGCUGGAUUUAUGUGUCCUGAUCCGUAAUCAAAAGGCAUCGCAUUUGAAGAAUCGUCGUUUCUUAUGAAAUUUCGGGUGUUAUCAGCGAUGGUUGCUACUUUAUCGCGGCUGGGCUCCAAUAAGGAUGAACCGAUUUCAAUAGUGCAACCACCGCAGAUACAUGUGGACACGACAUAGAGGUGCCAGAGAGAAUGUUAUAGUUGAUGCUGUCUGCUGUCGAUACUGGAGACCAUGCGGCCAAAAUGUUCACUCCUGGUGCGGUUAUAUCCGGCUGCAUUCAUUUUCGUUGCACGAAUUAGAAUUCAGAGUUUCAUGUGGUAAAAUAAUACAUAUUGGAAAGAUACCGACUUUAAUGAUGUCGGGAGUUAUAACGUUUGGUCCCUUGGAGGAGAAGACCGCCAUCGCUGGUGCUGGUUUAAUCCCGACAUUUGUUACCGUUAGGGAGAUCCUAGCCGUUGGAUUCCUAGAAUUACGAUGAAACUAUUUCGGUCAGACGAUAAUUAUGUUUUUAACCCAUUAAUUGUCUAGAGAAUGUAUUCAUGAUUUAGUGACUUACUUUUCGGUUGUC
Molecule: long non-coding RNA, 828 nt
Filed under: Helianthus annuus (common sunflower)
Lineage: Eukaryota; Viridiplantae; Streptophyta; Magnoliopsida; Asterales; Asteraceae
Description: hypothetical non coding rna
Source: RNAcentral